RNAcentral lists this ribosomal RNA (253 nucleotides) under uncultured prokaryote. RNAcentral's name for it is "partial 16S ribosomal RNA". It matches the Rfam family "Bacterial small subunit ribosomal RNA", at positions 525 to 777 of the family's 1533-position model. The record is from RNAcentral.
ACGUAGGGUGCGAGCGUUAAUCGGAAUUACUGGGCGUAAAGCGUGCGCAGGCGGUUUCGUAAGACAGACGUGAAAUCCCCGGGCUCAACCUGGGAACUGCGUUUGUGACUGCGAGGCUAGAGUAUGGCAGAGGGGGGUGGAAUUCCACGUGUAGCAGUGAAAUGCGUAGAUAUCCGGAGGAACACCGGUGGCGAAGGCGGCUUCCUGGACCGACACUGACGCUGAGGCGCGAAAGCUAGGGGAGCAAACGGGA